Ornithorhynchus anatinus (platypus) is the source of this 138-nucleotide non-coding RNA. NCBI's taxonomy places the organism in Eukaryota, Metazoa, Chordata, Mammalia, Monotremata, Ornithorhynchidae. The record is from Rfam.
CCCCUCUCGGGAUGCCACCUGGAGAGUUUCCAGGACUCUACCGGUCUCGGCUAUGGGAGGGAGAGUUAAGCAGAGGCCUACCUAUUCCAUUCCUAGCUUGACCAGUGGCUAGCGAGAGGAAGGUCUUCUGCUACAAGU